GACGAACGCUGGCGGCGUGCUUAACACAUGCAAGUCGAACGGAAAGGCCUGCUUUCCCUUGUGGAUUGCGGGUACUCGCGUGGCGAACGGGCGAGUAACACGUGAGUGAUCUUCCCCCAACUUGGGUAUAAGCCUGGGAAACUGGGUCUAAUUCCCGAUAGGACUGCAGGGUGGUGCCUGUGGUGGCAAACGAUUUUCUAGUGGUUGGGGAUGAGCUCGCGGCCUAUCAGCUUGUUGGUGGGGUAAUGGCCUACCAAGGCGGCGACGGGUAGCCGGCCUGGGGUGGUGGACGGCCACAUUGGGACUGAGAUACGGCCCAGACUCCUACGGGAGGCAGCAGUGGGGAAUAUUGCACGAUGAGCGGAAGCCUGAUGCAGCGACGCCGCGUGGGGGAUGACGGGCUUCGGGUUGUAAACUCCUUUCGACCGCGAGGAAGCCACCUGGUUGGAAGGGUGGUGACGGUAGUGGUAGAAGAAGCACCGGCUAACUACGUG
This 494-nucleotide ribosomal RNA is filed under the name uncultured bacterium. RNAcentral describes it as "partial 16S ribosomal RNA". It matches the Rfam family "Bacterial small subunit ribosomal RNA", at positions 28 to 507 of the family's 1533-position model. The record is from RNAcentral.